This 468-nucleotide ribosomal RNA is filed under the name uncultured bacterium. Its description in RNAcentral is "partial 16S ribosomal RNA". It matches the Rfam family "Bacterial small subunit ribosomal RNA", at positions 28 to 507 of the family's 1533-position model. The record is from RNAcentral.
GACGAACGCUGGCGGCGUGCUUAACACAUGCCAGUCGAACGGAAAGGCCCUGCUUUUGUGGGGUGCUCGAGUGGCGAACGGGUGAGUAACACGUGAGUAACCUGCCCUUGACUUUGGGAUAACUUCAGGAAACUGGGGCUAAUACCGGAUAGGAGCUCCUGCUGCAUGGUGGGGGUUGGAAAGUUUCGGCGGUUGAGGAUGGACUCGCGGCUUAUCAGCUUGUUGGUGGGGUAGUGGCUUACCAAGGCUUUGACGGGUAGCCGGCCUGAGAGGGUGACCGGCCACAUUGGGACUGAGAUACGGCCCAGACUCCUACGGGAGGCAGCAGUGGGGAAUAUUGCACAAUGGGCGGAAGCCUGAUGCAGCAACGCCGCGUGCGGGAUGACGGCCUUCGGGUUGUAAACCGCUUUCGCCUGUGACGAAGCGUGAGUGACGGUAAUGGGUAAAGAAGCACCGGCUAACUACGUG